Long non-coding RNA from Orbicella faveolata, 547 nucleotides. Lineage: Eukaryota; Metazoa; Cnidaria; Anthozoa; Scleractinia; Merulinidae. The record is from RefSeq and is a predicted model, not a curated record.
UCAUGAAGGUAGUUUUCUCUUGUUUGGUCCUGAUCUAUAUUUCAUAUUUCUUUUAAAUGUGUAUAUUUUCGCUCAGAAUUCCGUCAGACAGCUAUCAAAGCGCUACAAGUUGAGAAUGUGCAAGCUUUAAAGUGAAACGGCCGGAUUGUCUCACACACUGACGGAAGCGCUACUUGUCGGGAAAACCUUCAAGCCACAAAGUGAUUGCUGCAUCUCUAGCGAGUGAAACUGCAUUCACUGAUUUCGGAAGACUUUCAAGUUUCUAAUAUACUUCAGAACCUGACCAACAAGUUCAACUGUCUUUACAGAUUUUUGGGAUAAAGGUGUCUUAUAACUUAUAGCAGGUGCGUAGAGGGACACUAAAGUAUCCUAAGUUGGCUUUCGUGCAGGAAAAUGACACAGUGAAGGACCUUAAUGUAAGCUUCACUACAGUGUAUCUGGAUAAACAUGGCUGCUGCUGCACCUUCACCCCUGGCCAGCUCCGUAGAGAAGACAAAUGGAGCCAAGCUGAGCAGACUUCUUAUUGAUGGUGGAACAACGGUUCUAA